UCCUCCCGCGACCCCGCCCCAGGGCCGCUCACGUCUGUUCCGGGGCGGAUUACCCCUCUCGGAACCGCGCAGCACUGCGGCUCCGGUGAGUGGGGGGAGGCGGGGUUGGGGGGGAGGGUCGGGGGCCACCGGGUCCAGAAACCGUUACCGGACGGGCCAGGGUGAUGCCCGCGGGACGGGGCAGGGGCGAUCGAACCCAAGACCCGCGUGGGAAUGGAGGGGGUCGGGGGGCUCGCGACACUGCUGCCCUUAGCGCGCCCCAGCUGCCUCCUAAGCAGGGGACGAAGGAAAGGGCGCGCGGGGCCCUGGGGACUAACGGAUGCUCCCCCUAGAUCGCUUCCAGCCCCCUGAGCCCUCUCCCUCAAGGGAAGGGCACACUCACUGACCCUCCGGAGCCUCCAAAACAGAAGUCAUUGAAACCUGCAUCUUCCUUCUCUGCCCCCCUCGCCCACUCCCUCCUGCAAAGUUGCUGCAGCCGUGGAUUUCGAUUUUAUGCACCCCGAAGCCAGCCAGUUUCUCCGGAACUCCCCUCCGAAAAACCUCCUCUUCCUGCAGGGCAACAAACUCAGUUCUUUUCUGAAAAUAAACUACCUCACCUGCAGGGAACUAGACUGGGGGGGAGGAAAACCGGUGCACAUGCCGAAGCUUCCAAAUUCGUACAGUGUAAAAUCACAAAGCCAUAGAUUUAUAUACUGCAAUGUGUCUAUUCAGAGCAUCGGUUCUUUUCACUAGUGUAACACUUUGAUGUCUUUGACACAACUGACUUGCUCUCCAGUCGGUCGUUUUUGGCUGCAUUUCAUAGCUGUAGAGCCAGGAUCAGACAGGCAAAGUUACUUGUUCAAGGUCACAGAACUAUUAACAAAGAACUUUUGAGCUCCCUGACUCCACAGAUUUUCUGACUCAAACACCGAAUGAUUUUUCCCCCAAUUCUGUUUCCUGCCCCCUAAAACAAUAUUGUAUUAAUAAUACAUGGCAUGUUUGGUGGCACUGACUUCCAUUAAUAGCUAGAUGUUCUUGAAUGAUUAAGAUAAAUUACCAGCCUACUUUAAUUUUUCCACUAUACAUUUGGCAGUAAGAAGUAUAUCUGGCUUGAAAAAAAUAGUCCAGCUCUUUCAACAGAAAUUGGUUUCGUUGGAAAGCAGAGAAGGAAGUAGUAAAAAAGAAGUCAAGAAUGCUUUGUCACAAGUGAUUCCAGAUGAGAGUUCCCAGAGAUGUCCUCUAACACUUAGCCUCCUCUGACUAGCUUGUUUUCGGUAGCAGAAUGGCAAGCAGCAAGCACAUUUAAAAAAUAGUAAUAAUCCUUGAAUGCCCUAGGAACUUAUCACACUGAAGAAAUAUGGUUGUAGAUACUGCUUUCAUUUUCUGUCUUCACCUGUCAAAAUGACACUGCACAAGACUGUACACUGCCACAAGUCAAAAUAUGAUCAUAAGCCUUAAUCCUAAAUUCUUGAAUUAAAAGGUGUCUAAAUUGUUUUUUAACCCCCCUAAAUAAUUCAGUUUACAACUAAUACAUUUCUCCCAAAUAUGACACAGUCCAUCAUUAUUUGCAGAACAGCAUAUAAAAGCUGUGAGGUCUGGAUAAACAAUGUGCAAUGACUCAGGCAGCAAAGUAACAUGUAUAAAAGAGUAAACUGGCCACAAUGCUAGAUGUGUUCUUUCAGUUGAUUGUUGAAAAAUAACUCUGUUAAGAGAAAAUUAACUUUCAUUAUGAUGAUGAGUAGCCAUGUAAAAAUAUUAUUUGCUAGCAUCUGCCUGGUGGGCUGCCGUCUAUGGGGUCGCACAGAGUCGGACAUGACUGAAGCAACUUAGCAGCAGCAGCAGCAGCGACCUCCAAAGCUGACCUGAACAAAGGGAAACUUGUUUGUAAUAUUCAGUUAACUCGGUGAGUCUUCAAUGGAUCAAGGAAAAAAAUACCUUUGUAACCUUGGCUGCAUCCUCUGCCAUGAAUAUAUAAAAACAAUGGAGUGUACUGAAAGGAUAAACCACUCUCAGCUGCUGGCACCCAAGUAGGAGAGCUGACGGAGAGACACAGACAUCACAUAAAGAACCACAGGGCACCCACAGCCACCAACAGCCAUCCAAUGGCUGAUGUGCGUCCACCAACUAAGAAAUGGAUGAAGGGAGAGGCAAUUCUACCAAUCUGAGCAAACAAAGAAAGGCACAUCCAACCUAUACAAAGGAAGAGAAAGAUCUAAGUAAUACAGGUUGAAGACAUAGAAAUAUGUUCCAUCACUGUGUACACUGGAAAUUCUAAACCUGACUGACAUCUGGAAUGCAACUGAAUCAGCAUGACCUGACAGAGCUACCCAAGCUUUACAAGGAUCUUGAAUAAAAUCAGCUCUGAUUCCCCUCUGCUGAAAAUCAUCUGUUUUUCAACCAAACUCACAUAUUAAAUAUGAUUUUUAUGACCUCUAUUAUAUUAUACCUUGCCUUGAGACUAGGCAUGCAACUUAUCUGCAUCUAUUUUUUCUUAUGCUAGAUUGUAACCUACUUGUAGUUUGAGCCUAUUUAAAUGAAUCAUUUAUCUG
Molecule: long non-coding RNA, 2528 nt
Organism: Bubalus bubalis (water buffalo)
Lineage: Eukaryota; Metazoa; Chordata; Mammalia; Artiodactyla; Bovidae
Exons: 3
Source: RefSeq, a predicted model, not a curated record